GGGCGCAUGGCCUAAUGGUAAGGCGUUAGAUUUCGGUUACUAGACUAUCUCUAAAGAUUGCAGGUUCGAUCCCUGCUGUGCUCG
Non-coding RNA from Hypoxylon cercidicola, 84 nucleotides. The record is from the annotation of a GenBank genome assembly. Lineage: Eukaryota; Fungi; Ascomycota; Sordariomycetes; Xylariales; Hypoxylaceae.